RNAcentral lists this ribosomal RNA (1359 nucleotides) under Triticum aestivum (bread wheat). Its description in RNAcentral is "partial small subunit ribosomal RNA". The record is from RNAcentral. Lineage: Eukaryota; Viridiplantae; Streptophyta; Magnoliopsida; Poales; Poaceae.
AUGAGGAAGCUUGGCAGAAGGACGAAACGUAUGAUGCCGCCGUUCUGCAAGGCUGGCGCCGGGGUGCAGGUUUGCAGGGUCUUCACGGCAUUGAGGAGGCUCUUCUACCAUGCAAACCCAGCUUUCAAGGGACCGACCAAGAGGGAAAAGGAUCUAUGCCGCCAGCUCUCUGAUCUACUUCACAAGGAAGAAAUCAUGGCCCGCCAAAGAUCGAGAGUGGACUGGCUAAAAGCGGGGGAUCGUAACACGGGGUUUUUCCAAGCUCGUGCCUCUGCCCGCAAGAGUAGGAAUCGCAUACGCAGUCUGCAAGCUGCGGAUGGCUCAGUAUGCGAGACCAAGGAGGACAUACAUGCUGAGGUACAGCAGUUCUACACUGACAAAUCAAUGGGAUGUAGAGACCAUCAGGAGUCUGUUUUACCCCCGGAUGCAGAUGCAAUAUUGGCCAUGCCUAGACCGAGAGGAGGAGGCAGAGACAUAUGGGCAUGGGCCUGGGAGAGAUCUGGCAUUUUCACAGUUCGAUCAGCAUACCGGCAAACGAUGCAAGCAAAGCUUCAACUUUCGGCAACAGUAGGCUCAUCUUCUAGAGCUGAAGAAACCUGGCGUGCAUUAUGGAAACUGAAUGUGCUUCCAAAAAUUCGAGUUUUUUGGUGGCGAGUUCUGAAAGGAUUCCUACCAAAUUACGGCGAGUUGAGAUGGCGACAUAUCAAGGAGUCGCCGCACUGUCCCAUGUGUGGACAUGAAAGCGAAACUCUAUAUCAUGCACUCAUGGAGUGCGACCAUGCGGUAUGGUUCUGGGAGGCAGCAGAGCGAUUUUUUGAUAUUCGUAUCCCAAGACUACACCCGAUAACAUGGUCCAAGGAUUUGCUUGAUCAUAAACUGUUUAAGCAAGAGGAGGCUGCUAUUAUGAUUACGGUGAUGUGGGCGGUGUGGCACUCAAGAAACAGAUAUACACAUGGAGAACAAGUGUAUCAGCCGUCGCAAUCCAUGAUCAUCAUAGAAGAAAUUGUGCGAGCGCUUGAGUUCCCUGUUAGUGAGAAGAACCAGCCGGGUUGUCCCCCACGAUGGCAACCACCAGAGGAAGGCUGGGUUAAGAUCAAUACAGAUGGAGCUACUGCCUCGGCACUGGCGCGAGGAGGAACGGGUUAUAUUGCCCGUGAUCAUCAUGGUUUCUUCCGUAGAGCAGGAGGCUCAAGGUAUGACGGCAUAAUUGAUCCACUCACACUUAAACUCCUUGCAUGUAGAGAUGGGCUUUCCAUGGCAUGUGAUAUGGGGCUACAUCGAGUUGAAGUCGAAACGGAUUGCCAGGAGAUUAUAAGGCUGUGGGAGUCACCGCAGAAAUCGUCAUUUACCAUCUCUUAA